Long non-coding RNA from Myripristis murdjan (pinecone soldierfish), 943 nucleotides. RefSeq lists it as uncharacterized. Lineage: Eukaryota; Metazoa; Chordata; Actinopteri; Holocentriformes; Holocentridae. The transcript has 3 exons. The record is from RefSeq and is a predicted model, not a curated record.
GGAGGGAGAGUGCAGAGGUGGCACUGAGACAUGCCCACACCACACACACUGAGAUAGACUGCCAGGCAAGGAAUCACAGGGAACCACUAGACAAGACAGGGAUCGUGACAGAAGGAACCAAUGGACCAAACUUGCACAUGUGGCAAUGCCGUCACACUGUACAGCCCUGCAGAAAUUCCAACUGCAUCAACAGAGAAUCCAAAGAGAAAGAUGUCACAGCACUGGACACACUGUUUCACUGACAGGGAAUCAGGGAAUGAAGUGCAAAAACACCACAUUAGUGAGACCUUGAAGUGCCAAAGACUCCACAAAAUUAAAAAUGCAAGCAUUUCACAGGUUCCCAGCAGGAGCUCCGUUGACUGCUGUGCUACAACCACUCACUGCACCGGCAGCAGCAGCAGCCCUGACUGUAUGAAAUGAAAUAGGACUGGCUGUGUAAUUGCUCCCGUAGGGACUGCUCUGCUUCAAUAACACACUUUGUGAUUGGGUUUGGGGACCGGCCACGUUGACAGUCAAGGCAGAAUAAACAAGAAUGGGGAGGGUGUGUGUGUGUGGGGGGGUUCUAUUCUGGUCUGUGGCCUCGUGUGUGACAACAGGACAGCACCCAAGGGAGACAGGCAGCCAGAUGUGGCCUGUGCUGCUUACAACCCCCCUGUGCACCCCCAACCCCCCACCAGGGACUGGAGCAGGGAUAAUAGUUUAGACAUUAUAGGAUGUGACAGGUAGUGCUGGGUCAAUCCUAGGCAGCAUGCCUUGCUUCCUCCAUGAGAUGUGUUCCCCCUCUACUGUAUUCCCACUGGCCAUCCUCUCCCUUUCUUCCUUCUCUUCUUCCUCGCUUUCUUUCAUCUUUUCUUCCGUCCCCAUUUUAGUUUCUGUCUGUAUCUCUUUACAUUAAAGGGUGAUAAUUACCAAAAUCUGUUUUUAGAUGGUAUAAUGUGAUAAU